This 552-nucleotide long non-coding RNA is filed under the name Amborella trichopoda. Its description in RNAcentral is "long non-coding RNA (ATRI_LNC003571)". Lineage: Eukaryota; Viridiplantae; Streptophyta; Magnoliopsida; Amborellales; Amborellaceae. The record is from RNAcentral.
CCAGCUUUCUUAUAUCGCAUUAAUUUCCCUUAAUCAGGCUGAUCACUGUUUCCUAUUGUGGACGCUUCAAUAUAGAAUGUUAUCAUGUACAAUUCUAUAUAUCUGUACAAGGGAGCCAUAGAAAGGUCAUAAUAAUAUAGAUUAAUUCUCCUUUCGUGGAUGUAGGCCCAAUCGGCCGAACCACGUAAAUUCUUGUGUACUCAUUUUCUGUCUCAUACUCUUAACAUGGUCUCAGAGCAGAAAUCUUAAGACCUAAGAAAAUCACUACAGUCGAUAUACUCCGGUUUUUCAAGGAUCGAUCUUCUAUAGGCUCAAAAGAUGGGCUCAACGGAUUCUUUGAUUUCAUUCUUCGUCGAAAACUAGCAAAUUCCAUCGAUCUUUUACAAACCAACAAGUUACCGUCAAGCUGUUGCACUCUCUUUUUGCAAAUCUAUUACAAGCUUCUUGCGUAGUAGUUGCCUAGUUGGCUUUCUAAAGGAAUUUGGAUCCUUGAUUUCGUGGCAUUCUUCAUGAAGGCGAAAGGAUUCGGUUUGUGAUUGAUGGCCUCUUUGC